AUUGAACGCUGGCGGCAGGCCUAACACAUGCAAGUCGAGCGGAUGAAGGGAGCUUGCUCCUGGAUUCAGCGGCGGACGGGCGAGUAAUGCCUAGGAAUCUGCCUGGUAGUGGGGGAUAACGUCCGGAAACGGGCGCUAAUACCGCAUACGUCCUGAGGGAGAAAGUGGGGGAUCUUCGGACCUCACGCUAUCAGAUGAGCCUAGGUCGGAUUAGCUAGUUGGUUGGGUAAAGGCCUACCAAGGCGACGAUCCGUAACUGGUCUGAGAGGAUGAUCAGUCACACUGGAACUGAGACACGGUCCAGACUCCUACGGGAGGCAGCAGUGGGGAAUAUUGGACAAUGGGCGAAAGCCUGAUCCAGCCAUGCCGCGUGUGUGAAGAAGGUCUUCGGAUUGUAAAGCACUUUAAGUUGGGAGGAAGAGCAGUAAGUUAAUACCUUGCUGUUUUGACGUUACCAACAGAAUAAGCACCGGCUAACUUCGUG
RNAcentral lists this ribosomal RNA (484 nucleotides) under uncultured bacterium. RNAcentral's name for it is "partial 16S ribosomal RNA". It matches the Rfam family "Bacterial small subunit ribosomal RNA", at positions 30 to 507 of the family's 1533-position model. The record is from RNAcentral.